CGGCGUGCUUAACACAUGCAAGUCGAACGAGACGAUUUAGAAGCUUGCUUUUAUUGAGUCGAGUGGCAAACGGGUGAGUAACGCGUAGACAACCUGCCGCAAAGAUGGGGACAACAGUCCGAAAGGACUGCUAAUACCGAAUGUUGUAUCUCCUCCGCAUGGAAGAGAUAUUAAAGAUGGCCUCUACUUGUAAGCUAUCGCUUUGCGAUGGGUCUGCGUCUGAUUAGCUAGUUGGUGGGGCAACGGCCUACCAAGGCGACGAUCAGUAGCCGGUCUGAGAGGAUGAACGGCCACAUUGGAACUGAGACACGGUCCAGACUCCUACGGGAGGCAGCAGUGGGGAAUCUUCCGCAAUGGGCGAAAGCCUGACGGAGCAACGCCGCGUGAGUGAAGAAGGUCUUCGGAUCGUAAAGCUCUGUUGUCGGGGACGAAUGUUGAGACCAAGAACAUAGGUUUCAAAUGACGGUACCUGACGAGGAAGCCACGGCUAACUACGUG
RNAcentral lists this ribosomal RNA (498 nucleotides) under uncultured bacterium. RNAcentral describes it as "bacterial SSU rRNA". It matches the Rfam family "Bacterial small subunit ribosomal RNA", at positions 40 to 507 of the family's 1533-position model. The record is from RNAcentral.